RNAcentral lists this ribosomal RNA (1036 nucleotides) under Reticulamoeba minor. RNAcentral describes it as "SSU rRNA". It matches the Rfam family "Eukaryotic small subunit ribosomal RNA", at positions 341 to 1284 of the family's 1831-position model. The record is from RNAcentral. Lineage: Eukaryota; Cercozoa.
GACAUCUGAGGUGAUAACGAAUGGCGGGGAAUAAGGGUUCGGUUCCGGAGAGGGCGCCUGAGAAAUGGCGACCACAUCCAAGGAAGGCAGCAGGCGCGCAAAUUACCCAAUCCUAACACAGGGAGGUAGUGACAAGAAAUAUCAAUACCGGGUUCUUUUAGAGCUUGGUAAUUGAAAUGAGUACAAUUUAAACCCCUUAACGAGGAUCAACUGGAGGGCAAGUCUGGUGCCAGCAGCCGCGGUAAUUCCAGCUCCAGUAGCGUAUAUUAAAGUUGUUGCAGUUAAAAAGCUCGUAGUUGGAUUUGUGGUGUGUUCCUUUUGUGUGACUUCUUGGUUUCUCUCCUAACUUAGUUGGGGGUUGAACUGGUGUCACCAACACAUCAUCCUUGAUGGGAUUUAGAGUCAUUUCGACUUUUUUAUUCUCAUCAUCCUUUACUUUGAAAAAAUUGGAGUGAUUCAAGCAGGCGAAUUCAUUUGUUUUUAUUAACAAAUCAUCAAUUUGCUUCUGCACAUGUUAGCAUGGAAUAAUGCAAGAGGACUUGGGUUUUCUCUUUCAUUGGUUUCAGGAAUCCGAGUAAUGAUUGAUAGGGACAGUUGGGGGUGCUCAUAUUCGACGGCCAGAGGUGAAAUUCUUGGAUUCGUUGAGGAUGAACAACUGCGAAAGCAUUCACCAAGGAUGUCUUCUUUAAUCAAGAACGAAAGUUGGGGGAUCGAAGAUGAUCAGAUACCGUCGUAGUCCCAACCAUAAACGAUGCCGACCAGGGAUCAGCGAGCGUUGACUUUGCAUAUUUUUUAAUUUCGAUUAUGAAUAUUGCAAAUCUCAUUUAUUUGAAACGACCUCGUUGGCACCUUGCGAGAAAUCACCAGUCUUUGGGCUCCGGGGGGAGUAUGGUCGCAAGGCUGAAACUUAAAGGAAUUGACGGAAGGGCACAACCAGCAGUGGAGCCUGCGGUUUAAAUUGACUCAACACGGGGAAACUUACCAGGUCCAGACAUCAUAAGGAUUGACAGAUUGAAGHUCUUUCUUGAUUYKRUGG